UCACUAUCUGUAUAGCCAACUACCUUUCCCUCCAUGCCACUUUUGAACCAGAUUCCAAGAUUAAUGGUUCCUUUCACAUACCUGAGAACCCUUUUUGCAGCUUUGAAGUGAUUUUGGCUUGGUUCAUGCAUGAAUCUUGAUAAUAAGCUUGUUGCAUACAUGAUAUCAGGUCUGGAUGCAGUGAGAUACAAUAAACAACCAAUCACACUUCUGUAAAUUCCAGAAUCUAUCUUCUCAAAACUAUCUCCUUUGCUCAAUUUUUCAUUUUGAG
RNAcentral lists this unclassified non-coding RNA (271 nucleotides) under Hevea brasiliensis (rubber tree). Lineage: Eukaryota; Viridiplantae; Streptophyta; Magnoliopsida; Malpighiales; Euphorbiaceae. The record is from RNAcentral.